RNAcentral lists this ribosomal RNA (254 nucleotides) under uncultured bacterium. RNAcentral's name for it is "partial 16S ribosomal RNA". It matches the Rfam family "Bacterial small subunit ribosomal RNA", at positions 524 to 776 of the family's 1533-position model. The record is from RNAcentral.
UACGGGGGGAGCAAGCGUUGUUCGGAUUUACUGGGCGUAAAGGGCGCGUAGGCGGCCAGCACAAGUCAGUUGUGAAAUCUCCGGGCUUAACUCGGAAAGGUCAACUGAUACUGUGCGGCUAGAGUGCAGAAGGGGCAACUGGAAUUCUCGGUGUAGCGGUGAAAUGCGUAGAUAUCGAGAGGAACACCUGCGGCGAAGGCGGGUUGCUGGGCUGACACUGACGCUGAUGCGCGAAAGCGUGGGGAGCGAACAGG